RNAcentral lists this ribosomal RNA (432 nucleotides) under uncultured bacterium. RNAcentral's name for it is "partial 16S ribosomal RNA". It matches the Rfam family "Bacterial small subunit ribosomal RNA", at positions 29 to 506 of the family's 1533-position model. The record is from RNAcentral.
AACGAACGCUGGCGGCAUGCCUAACACAUGCAAGUCGAACGAGACCUUCGGGUCUAGUGGCGCACGGGUGCGUAACGCGUGGGAACCUGCCCUUAGGUUCGGAAUAACUCCCCGAAAGGGGUGCUAAUACCGGAUAAUGUCUUCGGACCAAAGAUUUAUCGCCUUUGGAUGGGCCCGCGUUGGAUUAGCUAGUUGGUAGGGUAAAAGCCUACCAAGGCGACGAUCCAUAGCUGGUCUGAGAGGAUGAUCAGCCACACUGGGACUGAGACACGGCCCAGACUCCUACGGGAGGCAGCAGUGGGGAAUAUUGGACAAUGGGCGAAAGCCUGAUCCAGCAAUGCCGCGUGAGUGAUGAAGGCCUUAGGGUUGUAAAGCUCUUUUACUCGGGAUGAUAAUGACAGUACCGGGAGAAUAAGCUCCGGCUAACUCCGU